GUGAGGCUAACCAAAGGGCCGGCUAGGCUCAGCCCCCACAGAUGGGCUCCUGGUCAAGGAAUUACAAAUAAAAGGACAUUUCACUCCUUAUUAAUUCCAUGGUAGUCAGCCUCGGGGGUCCACACCCAUACCCCACUCUGCCAACAGGCGGCGCUCUGGGAGGCGGAAGGUAUCCCAUGGGCUCAGGUGGCUUUGAGGUCGCAGCUCGAGGGUAUGGCGAGACCUGGGUGGCAAGGCGCAGACUUCGGCGCUCGGCUUCCUGAGUGCAAAUCCUAGCUUCGCAGCUGCAUGGUCACUCGGUGCCUGCAGCUUCUAAAUGGGCUAGAUCCACUGACUUAAAUACUACCACAUCCGCAAAAGACCUCACCAGCAACAUCCAGACUAGUGUCUGCCCAAACCACUAGGCAGUGCAGCCGAGGGAGUGACACAUCAGGGUGACCGCGACGCUGUGUGGGCAGUUCAGGCGCACUCCCGUUCAGGGCAGGUGCCCUCAGCCACCUGGCUGUGCAGACGGAGGACGUGAAUGGACGGGAGGUGAGGAGGCGGACCGGUGAAUAUGACAGUUGAAUGUAUUUAUUUUAUUUUUGUCUUUUUGAGAGACAGGGUCUCACUAUGCAAAGGACUAAGC
Chinchilla lanigera (long-tailed chinchilla) is the source of this 628-nucleotide long non-coding RNA. RefSeq lists it as uncharacterized. Lineage: Eukaryota; Metazoa; Chordata; Mammalia; Rodentia; Chinchillidae. The record is from RefSeq and is a predicted model, not a curated record. The transcript has 3 exons.